AUGGCCACAUCUCGUUUAAACACCGGUUCUUGUACAAUCACCAAAGUUAAGCAACUUCAAGCUUGGCCAGUACCUAGAUGGAUGACCGUUUGGAAAUACCAGGUGCUGUAAG
Acanthosepion pharaonis is the source of this 112-nucleotide non-coding RNA. The record is from the annotation of a GenBank genome assembly. Lineage: Eukaryota; Metazoa; Mollusca; Cephalopoda; Sepiida; Sepiidae.